RNAcentral lists this long non-coding RNA (604 nucleotides) under Equus caballus (horse). RNAcentral describes it as "lncRNA (ENSECAG00000043993.1)". Lineage: Eukaryota; Metazoa; Chordata; Mammalia; Perissodactyla; Equidae. The record is from RNAcentral.
GGAGGAAUUCAGCUACGAAGACUUCUGUGGAAGAGAUGCCUAGGGGUUACUAGUAACACCAUAACACACACGCUUGAGUCUUGUGGCUUAGAGGUUUUCAGACAACAUUGAUCACCAGUGGACGCUACUCUAAUUCCUAACUUUUCCAAAUACCAUCAAAACAAAGUUGUGAACCAACACUUACUGAAGAUUUGAGGAAAAUGAUGAAAACUAGUAGUACUGUACUGUAUAAGCAGCAACUAAAAGCUGAAUAUUAGCCAUUAUUCGACUACAUUUUGUUGACUAUUUGUCAUCUUAGAAUAUUUCCUAUGGACUCCUUCCUCUAUGGACCAGAUUUAAUGUAACUGUUUAUGUUGCCUGCUCUGUCCCUCCACCUCCUUUUUCCAGUUGCCCAGAGAUGUCAAACUUUUCUUGUAUAACUAUGGAAAAUGGCUAUCUUAUAUUGUUUUACUUACUCUCAUCUAGCUUAAGCCCUUUAGUAUCUUCUAAAUUCACUGACAAACAGACCUUGUCUUAUUAAUUAAAAAAAUCACUUACUCCAUAGCCUAAUUAUGCAACUUUCCUAGAUAAUACGUGUCAUAUUUUUCGUAAAAUUAUAUUUCCC